RNAcentral lists this ribosomal RNA (498 nucleotides) under uncultured bacterium. Its description in RNAcentral is "partial 16S ribosomal RNA". It matches the Rfam family "Bacterial small subunit ribosomal RNA", at positions 28 to 508 of the family's 1533-position model. The record is from RNAcentral.
GAUGAACGCUGGCGGCGUGCCUAAUACAUGCAAGUCGAGCGAACAGACGAGGAGCUUGCUCCUCUGACGUUAGCGGCGGACGGGUGAGUAACACGUGGAUAACCUACCUAUAAGACUGGGAUAACUUCGGGAAACCGGAGCUAAUACCGGAUAAUAUAUUGAACCGCAUGGUUCAAUAGUGAAAGACGGUUUUGCUGUCACUUAUAGAUGGAUCCGCGCCGCAUUAGCUAGUUGGUAAGGUAACGGCUUACCAAGGCAACGAUGCGUAGCCGACCUGGGAGGGGGAGCGGCCACCAUUGGAACGGAACCAGGCCCCAGCCUCCGGCGGAGGGCAGCGGUAGGAAUUCUUCAGAAAGGGCCAAAGGUUUGAAGACGCACCCCGGGGGGAGUGAUAAGGUUUUUCGAAUCUAAAACUUUUUUUAUGGGGAAAAAAAAAUUGGAAAAGAAACUUUACCCUUCUUGAGGUACCUUAAUAAAAAGACCAGGGCAACCCACGGC